RNAcentral lists this long non-coding RNA (875 nucleotides) under Capra hircus (goat). Its description in RNAcentral is "lncRNA (ENSCHIG00010028210.1)". The record is from RNAcentral. Lineage: Eukaryota; Metazoa; Chordata; Mammalia; Artiodactyla; Bovidae.
CAAGGUUGUUCCUCAGGGACUGCCUGGCUGGCAGUUCACACCCAUGCCCUGGUGCCAGCCUGGUGCCAGCCUGUGGCAGGACUCAGCACGUUUGAGACAGCAAGAGCCAGGUUUUAAAAACCACCCUCACACGUGGUUGUAUUUCAGUUCUUUAUGAAGCUUAUUUUGUAGACCCUGGUCAAUUUCAUUUUCAUUAAUUUGAAUUUCAACCUAACUUUCCAAGUAAAAUCCCAGUCAUGUAAGUCUAAUUGGUUACAUAAAAUAUACCGCUUCACUGUGGACCCAUGAGAUGUGUGUAGUGACCCCCCCUACCCGGCCCCCACCAGCCCAGGACAUGAAGCUCAGUCUAAAGCAAAACUAAUUCACGUCAGUGUCGCUAACUUUUCCCUGAUUUGUCAGAGAAAAUGCCAAGAAAGAAUCCAUAAAACUCAUUCAUUGUGACCCCCGUUACCACAAAAAUCUGUACAUUCAUCAAAAUUUUUUAUACAUCCAGUCUGAAGAAUUUCCAGAAAUCAGAUGGGAUAGGCCAUGCAUUUUCAUUCAUGGAAUUUUCUGAAUUCGUAUCAAAAGACUGGGUGUGGAUCACUUUGAAAUGGAGACACAUUUUGGAAGCGGAGGCUAAUGAAAGUUGGAUACAGUAUUGGUUGGAAGUGACUUAAUAUCACUCCACAGGAUCUGUCGAGAACACUUACCUGGGGCCGUGCGCGGGUGUAAACGGGACGGGGCCGGGUGAGGCUGAGCUCCCCCCUCACAGUGACAGCCUGUGCUCGAAAGGGCCUUGCAAGCACAGGUGUGCAAGACUGGUCUUUCUAGGACCCAAUCUUUGGCCAGAAAGAGCUUAAGAUUCAAUAUGUGCAUUUAUUUAAAAUAUAAAU